UGCGCAGUGUGUACCUUUGCUCUCUAUCUCUAUCGUUCUCUCGCACAUAUACGCGAGCUCCCCUCCCUUGGCGUCCGUCCUCGCGGCGUCGUUCGACGCCAGUGCGCCUAGCCUGCCAGGAGACGUUAGAGAGAGAGAUUCCCGUGGUGGUGGGGGUAGCUUUUACGGGCGCGUUACAGCGGCGACCCGUACAGUCGCGCGGCGCGCUCUUACGCGCUUACGUGGUGCUGCGCUGUUGCGGCAUCGUUAAGAUUGUAUCGACCCUUACCCAUUGGACGCCAACUCGUCCAAUGCCGUGCCGCCGAAAACAUUACGUCACCUCUCGGUAUUAUUGAUGCCGACCAUCCGGCAGCAUCGCGGAGCCGAACGGUCGAGGGUAGCCUUCCUUGCUGCUUUAAGUGCCGGCAAGGCUUCGAAGCUGCAAAGGGGAGGAACAGGGGGAGAAGGAGGAGGGAGAUUUGAUAAUGUCAGGGUUAUAUUGGCCGAAGGGAGAAAGCGAAAAGGAGAAGAAGGAAGAAAACGAAGAAGAGGAAACGCGUUAUGGGAAACGUCAGGAUCUCAAAAGCUUUCGAGAUCUUCGUCGGCGUGCACGAACGUUUUAGCCCUAAUUUCUUCAAAGCGAAAAUACAUUCUUUGAUCCUCCUCAUCAUUCUUUUUCUCUCGAUCGUCUUUUCCUAACAUUCUUGUUACCGAUUCUCCUAUCUCUCAUAUCUACCUAUACAAUUUCAUUUAUCUACUUCCUCCUCCUUUCGUAUUUUCCUUUAUUAUAUAUAAAAUGGUUUAGCGAGAUUGAAAAUUUGUUUUUAAAUUACCUUUACAUUUCAUGAUCGACAUUUAGCGAAUAGAAAAAUCUACGACGUUCGAAUUUUUGUUUGUUUGUUUGUUUGUUUGUUUGUUUUUCUGUCUGUCUCUGACAAGAUCGAAACGAGAAAGGAAUAAAUUUGUCAUUUUCUUCUUUUUCUUUUUAUCUUUAUUCUUAUUUUAUUCACUUGUCGAAAGCGUAGAGAUAUUUGAUAUCUUUUUGAUACGAGAUACAAACGUAGAUUUCAAAUAUAACUAUCGAUCAAGCAUAUCCAACGAGAUUUAUGAAUACCUUUGUCGAACAUUCUGCAAACAAAUAUAUAUGCUCUUACGCAAGUUAUUUAUGUCGAUUGCACGAGUACGAUAUUGGAAAUGCAUUUUUUUGGUUACCUCUUA
Long non-coding RNA from Vespula pensylvanica (western yellowjacket), 1197 nucleotides. RefSeq lists it as uncharacterized. NCBI's taxonomy places the organism in Eukaryota, Metazoa, Arthropoda, Insecta, Hymenoptera, Vespidae. The transcript is spliced from 2 exons. The record is from RefSeq and is a predicted model, not a curated record.